AGAGUUUGAUCAUGGCUCAGGAUGAACGCUAGCGGCGUGCCUAACACAUGCAAGUCGAACGUGAGGGGGUAGAAAUACUUCUGAAAGUGGCGGACGGGUGAGUAAGACGUAGGUGACCUGCCUCGGAGUGGGGGAUAACCGUUGGAAACGAUGGCUAAUACCGCAUAAGGUAGGGAUAAUGGGAAUGUUCCUAACAAAGCUUUGGUGCUUGGAGAGGGGCCUACGGCCGAUUAGCUAGUUGGUGGGGUAAGGGCCUACCAAGGCGAUGAUCGGUAGCUGGUCUGAGAGGACGAUCAGCCACACGGGAACUGAGACACGGUCCCGACUCCUACGGGGGGCAGCAGUGAGGAAUAUUCGGCAAUGGGGGCAACCCUGACCGAGCAACGCCGCGUGGAGGAAGACGGUUUUCGGAUUGUAAACUCCUUUUCUGGGGGAAGAGCAAGGACGGUACUCCAGGAAUCAGUCACGGCUAACUACGUGCCAGCAGCCGCGGUAAUUC
This 499-nucleotide ribosomal RNA is filed under the name uncultured bacterium. Its description in RNAcentral is "partial 16S ribosomal RNA". It matches the Rfam family "Bacterial small subunit ribosomal RNA", at positions 8 to 526 of the family's 1533-position model. The record is from RNAcentral.